This is a long non-coding RNA of Falco peregrinus (peregrine falcon), 735 nucleotides long. RefSeq lists it as uncharacterized. NCBI's taxonomy places the organism in Eukaryota, Metazoa, Chordata, Aves, Falconiformes, Falconidae. The transcript is spliced from 2 exons. The record is from RefSeq and is a predicted model, not a curated record.
CUCCCUAGCGGGUACUGUUUCUUAAAGCAGCUCUCCCAAAUUCAGAUGCCAAAAUGAACAUUAGUAACUCUUUAAGGCUCUUGGACAUCUUGAGAAACAAGUCAUCUUCCAAAACCACCAAAUGCUAGACACCUUGAAAUAAUGCUUUGGGACUUGCAUGUUCCCCCCACUUUAAACUUCCUUUCUCUGCAGACCAUGCCACAAAGGCCUUUCUUUCCCAAGGUGCUGUGAGCUUUCACCAAUGGAUGAGUGAUUCAGCUGUAGUUCAUUCCAGGACUCCCAGAUUCCUGUCCCCUGUGCUGUUACUGGAGUUAAUCCAAAUCAAACAGGAAUCAAUAUAAUAUCUUCUCUGCACCAAAUGGAGGCUGGAUAAGAGAACGGUUAAAGAAAAUGGAAUUGAGUUUUUCUUGAACCUAGGAUGGUUUUUAGUACAUCCGCCAGUCUCCUUCUCUGAGGUUUUGAUGGUAGGAACUGGAGGCACCAAAAGCAAGUCAGACCAGCACGGGUUAGUAAACACUAGUGGUGCAUCUGAUUGAACAGCCCAUUCUGCAGUGGCGCUUUGGGAGAAGUCAUGGGUUUUGCAUGGAAAAUUUCUUCCUGAGCUCAGAUGAUAUCUUUGCAUAGUUUAUGCCUAUGGUAUCCAGUUCAGUAGUCCUUGCAAUUUGUAUGCUAAUUAGUGUAAGUGAAAAGGCUACUUUUGUUCACUUUAGAUAUCUACUGAAUAACUUUUUUUUU